This 245-nucleotide long non-coding RNA is filed under the name Hordeum vulgare. Its description in RNAcentral is "long non-coding RNA (HVUL_LNC016745)". The record is from RNAcentral. Lineage: Eukaryota; Viridiplantae; Streptophyta; Magnoliopsida; Poales; Poaceae.
AAAUCAGGAACAUCACACACAAGCCUGCAUUAGACUACAUAUUUUUGUUCACAAAACCGCAUCAUAUUCAUACUAGAGGGAUUCCAAUUUUUAGGCCAACCUGCAACAUUAGGAUACAUCUGUGGCUAGCAAAUGAAUAUAACAAAAGGACAUGGGGGGUGGAAGAAAAAGAAUUAGAGCAAGGGCUGGCUGGAGCAAGGGAGGAAGUGGCUCGUUGGAGCUAAGAAGAAGGCUCCAGCGACACU